Molecule: ribosomal RNA, 429 nt
Filed under: Chloroflexota bacterium
Lineage: Bacteria; Bacillati; Chloroflexota
Description: Chloroflexi bacterium partial 16S ribosomal RNA
Rfam family: Bacterial small subunit ribosomal RNA
Source: RNAcentral
UGGGGAAUAUUGCACAAUGCGCGCAAGCCUGAUGCAUCCAUGCCGCGUUUGUGAAGCAGUCCUUCGGGUUGUCACGCACUUUCAGCGGGGAGGAAGGCGAUCAGGUUAAUAACCUUGUCGCUUUCCGUUACCCGCAGACGAAGCACCGGCUAACUCCGUUCCAGCAGCCGCGGUAAUACGGAGGGUGCACGCGUUACUCGGAAUUACUGGGCGUAACGCGCACGCAGGCGGUCUGUCAAGUCGGAUGUGAAAUCCCCGGGCUUCACCUGGGAAGUGCAUUCGAAACUGGCAGGCUAGAGUCUUGUAGAGGGGGGUAGAAUUCCAGGUGUAGCGGGGAAAGGCGUAGAGAGCUGGAGGAAUACCGGUGGCGAAGGCGGCCCCCUGGACGAAGACGGACGCUCAGGUGCGAAAGCGUGGGGAGCAAACAGG